This is a long non-coding RNA of Pollicipes pollicipes, 298 nucleotides long. RefSeq lists it as uncharacterized. The transcript is spliced from 3 exons. Lineage: Eukaryota; Metazoa; Arthropoda; Thecostraca; Pollicipedomorpha; Pollicipedidae. The record is from RefSeq and is a predicted model, not a curated record.
GGGUGCGGUUCGGCCAGUACGGCUACGAGCUGCCCGACGGCACCAACCAGACAGUCAACUACGUGGCCGAUGCCAACGGCUACCGCGUGCUGGCCGAGGGCCAGAAGUACGUCCCAGUCAGCGAGCGCGAGCUGGAGCGGCGGCGCGGUAUCCUCGAGGACAUCCAGGCCGAAGAGGAGGAGCAGGAGCCGCUUAAUCUGGACCUCACUCUCCUGGAACGCAUCGCUGACCCGGCCGAGGUGGAGCUGGAGUCGGAUCCGGCCGUGGCACUGUCGGCCGCCAAACCGCUGCAGCCGCA